Long non-coding RNA from Mustela putorius furo (domestic ferret), 2185 nucleotides. Lineage: Eukaryota; Metazoa; Chordata; Mammalia; Carnivora; Mustelidae. The record is from Ensembl.
GUUCACUCAUCAUUUCAGGUGCGGGUAAAUGUGCUAAAUGGUGUGGAAUUUUAUGACUAUAAAAGGUCAAAUUUCAAGAGUUUUCUUUUUAAAGGAAAUUUCAUGGAAUUUAAAAUGUGAAGUCCAAUCAUACUGAAUUCAUUGGCAACCAGACCUGCUUAAAGGUGAAACCUCAUUUCCCCAGGGGUUUCAAGUGAGAGAGGAGAAAGUCCCCUCAGGUUGCUCCCCCUUCUGCCAGGUUUCAGUUAUAACAGAGAAUCUUUUCACAAAAUAUAGUCAAUUUAUACUUCAGGAAUUUAAAACAUAUUUCAUUGGCUCAUCUGGACACUGGAAAAUCUUAUAUUCUUUCCCAAAUGACUUGGCACAUUAGUUUGGCACACACUGAGAACUCACACACCUGGCAAGCCACCUCGACUUUCCUGACGCUCAGAAGGAGGUCUCCAAACCUGCAAGCAUUUUGGAUGGUCUUCUUGAGGACAUGUGGCCAGCCUUGGCAUUUGCUGAGUCCUCUACUGCACAGGAUUCUCACUGAGUUAGCAAACAUGUGGCCUAACAGAAUUCUUGGUGUGAGAGAUUGAGUCCUUCCCACAAUCAUAUGAAUGAGUUUGGAAGUGGAUCUCCUACGGCCACGCCUGCAGAUGAGACCACAGCCCUGGCCUGUGACUGCAACUUCAUGAGAAAGUUUGAGCCGGAUGUACCCAUCUAAGAAGACAGGCCUGGAUUUAUGACUCAAUGACACUGUGAAAUAAUAAAUGCUUGUUGUUUAGAGCCUCUAAUUUUUAGAGUAAUUUGUUACACAGUAUUAGAAUAUGAAUCCAGGGGACAAGAGAGUUGAAUUCCCAAUAAGGAAAGGUGGAUUUAUAGUCUCCUCUUCAUACUUUCUAUAAAAUUGAGAAUUUCUCAUGAUCUUGUCUGAUAAUUCAGCAAAUUGGCUUCCUGGGGUUCAUUGCCAACUCUUCCCUCUUCCUUCCUUUACCUUCUUUGAGCCAGUCAUACCGUAAUACAACAUGUUUCUUUUUUUAAAAAAAUAUUUUAUUUAUUUAUUUGACAGAGAGAUCAGGAGUAGGCAGAGAGGCGGACAGAGAGAGAGGAAGGGAAGCACCGAUACAACAUGUUUCUUGUAAGAAAUCCACCUUCUGGGGCGCCUGGGUGGCUCAGUGGGUUAAAGCCUCUGCCUUCGGCUCAGGUCAUGAUUGCAGCAUACUGGGAUUGAGCCCUGCAUCGGACUCUCUGCUCGGUGGGGAGCCUGCUUCCUCCUCUCUCUCUGCCUGCUUGUGAUCUCUAUCUGUCAAAUAAAUAAAUAAAAUCUAAAAAGAAAGAAAGAAAGAAAGAAACCCACCUUCUCUCCCACCACCCCUCUUACAUCCUUCUUUGCUUUUAUUCAGAGUGAAGGAGGGAUAAAAUAAUUUGAGUUAAAAUGAGACAUUAAUGCUCCUGAAAAUAGAUAUACUUGGGAGUGAUGUGUUGGAAUCUCCAGGCGUGCUGGAGCCCUUGGAGUCGGGGACAAAAUGUGGCUGGUGAUCACCCAAGAUGGCAUGCGGAAGUUAGGGGUUAGGAGUGAGGGACCCAGGUAACAAGUAUUAUUUUUUUGGCCUUUUUUUUUAAACAAACUGGGAAGGGGCUGUUCUGCUGGGUUUUGGGCGGAGAGGCAGGGGGCAGGAUUUAGUUGUUCUUAGAAUAUAGAAUCUUUAUGAUUAGGAAUAAAAGCUGAGUUGAGACUGGUUCUCUCUCCAGCAUCACCUCUGUUCCUCAUUUCUUUGUCAAGGGGAGGAGUGGUUGUUAACCAAACAAGAUUUAUGUUUCCACUGAACAAAUUUUGAAGGAGAGGAAAAUGCCUACUCAGGCAACAUGCCAUGAGAUCCUUAGCAAGCUUCAGGAUGUACAUCUUAAGAAAAAUACUUUCAUUUGAAGCUAUGGAAAAGUAAAAGACAUAUUCAACAAUAGUUGACAAUGACAUUCAAAAGAUAGUUACAAGGCAGAAACUCAGAAGGGCAGGGUUUACUAAUGACAUUGAUACUCCUUGGUGGAAACUAAAGCUCUAAUUCAUGAGCUUACUGCAGAGAAGUUCCUAUUAAGGGAUUAUAACAAUGAUCAAUGAGAUGGAAAUUAAUAAAAGUAAAAAGGUAAACCACUGAUCAGGUAUUUCUUUUUUUAAAUUUUUUAAAAAAGAUUUUAUUUAUUUAUU